Molecule: transfer RNA, 73 nt
Filed under: Cnemotriccus fuscatus
Lineage: Eukaryota; Metazoa; Chordata; Aves; Passeriformes; Tyrannidae
Description: tRNA-Asn
Rfam family: tRNA
About the family: Transfer RNA (tRNA) molecules are approximately 80 nucleotides in length.
Source: RNAcentral
UAGACAGAAGCCUAUAGGUUAUGGCAUCUAACUGUUAAUUAGAGUGUUAUGGGAUCGAAGCCCAUCUGUCUAG